CAGCGAGAGACGUUAACCACCGAGGGUCGGUUUUUAGACACGCCCAGUGCAACUAUGCACGCCUACUUUUGGAGCUCUUUAGUAUGAAGAUAAGAAAAGUAUACAGAAUUGAGGGACUGUCGACAAUGUUUUAUAUUGUUCUUGGUUUACAGACGUUACCCGUAAAUAAACUGGACCCCUGUUGUUGUGUUUAUUUAUCGCUGCACUGAGCCUCAUGCACUACGAUGGAAUGGCGGACCAGUUUAAACAUGCCCCAGAAUGGUCAGAACAGUGGCAAAAGACUAAUCCAGAUUACCAAAAAAUAGAAGUUGUUCAGCUACCAUUCAUGCCAUAAGCAUGAUAAGAAAAAUUUUGCAGUUUCCAGAAUUUGAGGUAAUCAAGAUUUAGUGUUUCCAUACAAGUGUCAAAGAUUGAACGACAAAAACAUCUAAAACUUUACAGGACAGAGUAGACUUUUUCACUGUGCUUCAUUUUGUCUUUAUGUCUAAAUAAUGAUACAUUUUAAAAAACCAAUAAAAUAUGGAAUAAAAAAGAUUGUUAUCUUAUAAAAUGGAGUGAAGAAAUAAGGGGUGAUUGAAAACAUAAGAAUAUAUUGCUAUCA
Long non-coding RNA from Mytilus californianus (California mussel), 601 nucleotides. RefSeq lists it as uncharacterized. The record is from RefSeq and is a predicted model, not a curated record. NCBI's taxonomy places the organism in Eukaryota, Metazoa, Mollusca, Bivalvia, Mytilida, Mytilidae. The transcript has 3 exons.